Molecule: long non-coding RNA, 1344 nt
Filed under: Microcebus murinus (gray mouse lemur)
Lineage: Eukaryota; Metazoa; Chordata; Mammalia; Primates; Cheirogaleidae
Description: lncRNA (ENSMICG00000048265.1)
Source: RNAcentral
UCUUGGGUGACUCUCAGGUGCAGUUUGGAAAGCAGCCGGCAUCAUAAGGAAGCCCGAAAGCCAGGGCCCACCAACGAUCUUUGUUAUUUGUUUGUUUGUUUGUUUUGUUUUUGUUUGUUUUUUGUUUUUUUAUUUUUUUUUUUGAUACAGGGUCUCAUUUUUGUUGUCCAGGCUAGAGUGAGUGCCGUGGCGUCAGCCUAGCUCACAGCAACCUCACACUCCUGGGCUCAAGCGAUCCUCCUGCCUCAGCCUCCCGAGUAGCUGGGACUACAGGCAUGCGCCACCAUGCCCGGCUAAUUUUUUUUCUCUCUCUCUCUCUCUAUAUAUAUAUUAGUUGGCCAAUUAAUUUCUUUCUAUUUAUAGUAGAGAUGGGGUCUCGCUCUUGCUCAGGCUGGUUUCGAACUCCUGACCUAGAGCAAUCCGCCCGCCUCGGCCUCCCAGAGAGCUAGGAUUACAGGCGUGAGCCACCGCGCCUGGCCUAUCUUUGUUAUUUCUAUUUUACUUUUGAAACCAAGCAGCAACAGAAACCAAGAAAGCCAGCAUUGAAGCGUCGCUGGACAAACUGGUUAAGCCAUCUAGGGUUUGUAAUGGAGCCGAGACUGGUGAGUCCAAGCCGGUUGGAAACCUCUUCUGUAGACACCCCUGGCUGCCCUGCUGCUUUCGUCUACCUCAGACCCCCAUGACGGGCUCUGCCCUGGGACAACAGCCAAACCCAUUAUCCAUGGCCCGUAGAAGCCUCACUGGAGUCUGGGGCCUGCUGAGGUGGGGACAAGAUGGCUUUCUGUAGAGUUACACUUACAUUCUUUGGACCAGCCCCCGUUGAUUUCCCAAGUUCUGAGUCAAUGCGUGUCAGUGCUGGUAAGGUGCUCAGUGUGGAAGCAUCAGUUCUUGUGUGUAUUAGAGCGAGUGCUUUCCCUCCCAUGCUGAUGUGAUUCUCAAUUAGGAAUCCUGGACCCGAGUUAUUUUUGGCCAAUGCUCAAGUUUAAAAUUAUAUUAAAAUUUGUAUUUGGUCCCCUGCAAAAAAAAAAAAACAAAAACAACAACAACAGAGAAACGUUCAGCGUCGUUCCAUCGGCGCCGUCCCUGCUGCACGCUCCGGCGGUUGUGGUCGGGGCUGCUAAGGUGCCUCAGAGAGCAGAAAACCCACCUGCUGUAAAAAUGCCCCUGUGUCGCCCUAAUCGCUGUGUUUCCCGGGUGCACUGCUGUGAAGACGCCCCAGAGAAAGCGGCGAGAACACUCAGUGGACGUUCCGUGCAGAGGCGGCAAUCCUGUGAGCAACCAAUGGAGUUGGAUAGGAUUGGGAAGAAGAAAGACGAGUGGAUCCUGGAGACUCUCCGCCCCUGA